CCAAUAGCGUAUAUUAAAGUUGUUGCAGUUAAAAAGCUCGUAGUUGAAUUUCGGGACCAAUCUGCCGGUCGUGCCUCUGGUACGCACUGGUUUUAUUGGUUUCUCCCUUCUGACGAACCAUAAUGUCAUUAAUUUGGUGUCAUGGGGAAUCAGGACUGUUACUUUGAAAAAAUUAGAGUGUUUAAAGCAGGCUCACGCUUGAAUACAUUAGCAUGGAAUAAUGAAAUAGGACGUUUGACCCUAUUUUGUUGGUUUCUAGGAUCGACGUAAUGAUUAAUAGGGAUAGUUGGGGGCAUUAGUAUUCAAUUGUCAGAGGUGAAAUUCUUGGAUUUAUUGAAGGCUAACUACUGCGAAAGCAUUUGCCAAGGAUAUUUUCAUUAAUCAAGAACGAAAGUUAGGGGAUCGAAGACGAUCAGAUACCGUCGUAGUCUUAACCAUAAACUAUGCCGACUAGGGAUCGGAUGAUGUUAAUUUUUUAAUGACUCAUUCGGCGCCUUAC
RNAcentral lists this unclassified non-coding RNA (499 nucleotides) under uncultured Glomus. RNAcentral describes it as "SSU rRNA". It matches the Rfam family "Eukaryotic small subunit ribosomal RNA", at positions 591 to 1091 of the family's 1831-position model. The record is from RNAcentral. Lineage: Eukaryota; Fungi; Glomeromycota; Glomeromycetes; Glomerales; Glomeraceae.